Molecule: ribosomal RNA, 443 nt
Filed under: uncultured bacterium
Lineage: Bacteria
Description: partial 16S ribosomal RNA
Rfam family: Bacterial small subunit ribosomal RNA
Source: RNAcentral
CCUACGGGGGGCAGCAGUGGGGAAUAUUGGGCAAUGGAGGAAACUCUUACCCAGCAACGCCGCGUGAAUGAUGAAGGUCUUCGGAUUGUAAAGUUCUUUUCUAAGGGACGAAGAAAGUGACGGUACCUUAGGAAUAAGCCUCGGCUAACUACGUGCCAGCAGCCGCGGUAAUACGUAGGAGGCAAGCGUUAUCCGGAAUGACUGGGCGUAAAGGGUGUGUAGGCGGUGUGGCAAGUUGGUAGCGUAAUCCCAAGGCUUAACCUUGGAACUACUACUAAAACUGGUGGACGUGAGUGCAGGAGAGGAAAGUGGAAUUCCUAGUGGAGCGGUGGAAUGCGUAGAUAUUAGGAGGAACAUCAGUGGCGAAGGCGAGUUGCUGGACUGUAACUGACGCUGAGGCACGAAAGCGUGGGGAGCAAACAGGAUUAGAUACCCUUGUAGUC